Molecule: ribosomal RNA, 672 nt
Filed under: Kocuria sp.
Lineage: Bacteria; Bacillati; Actinomycetota; Actinomycetes; Micrococcales; Micrococcaceae
Description: bacterial SSU rRNA
Rfam family: Bacterial small subunit ribosomal RNA
Source: RNAcentral
GAACAGGAUUAGAUACCCUGGUAGUCCAUGCCGUAAACGUUGGGCACUAGGUGUGGGGGACAUUCCACGUUUUCCGCGCCGUAGCUAACGCAUUAAGUGCCCCGCCUGGGGAGUACGGCCGCAAGGCUAAAACUCAAAGGAAUUGACGGGGGCCCGCACAAGCGGCGGAGCAUGCGGAUUAAUUCGAUGCAACGCGAAGAACCUUACCAAGGCUUGACAUACACCAGACCGGCCCAGAGAUGGGUUUUCCUCUUUGAGGUUGGUGUACAGGUGGUGCAUGGUUGUCGUCAGCUCGUGUCGUGAGAUGUUGGGUUAAGUCCCGCAACGAGCGCAACCCUCGUUCUAUGUUGCCAGCACGUGAUGGUGGGGACUCAUAGGAGACUGCCGGGGUCAACUCGGAGGAAGGUGGGGAUGACGUCAAAUCAUCAUGCCCCUUAUGUCUUGGGCUUCACGCAUGCUACAAUGGCCGGUACAAUGGGUUGCGAUACCGUGAGGUGGAGCUAAUCCCAAAAAGCUGGUCUCAGUUCGGAUCGUGGUCUGCAACUCGACCACGUGAAGUCGGAGUCGCUAGUAAUCGCAGAUCAGCAACGCUGCGGUGAAUACGUUCCCGGGCCUUGUACACACCGCCCGUCAAGUCACGAAAGUUGGUAACACCCGAAGCCGGUGGCCUAA